UAGAAAGUAGUUUAAUUUUAAAACUUUAUCUUUGGAAGAUAAGAAUCAGUGUAAUAUCUGUUUUCUGG
This 68-nucleotide transfer RNA is filed under the name Flustra foliacea (greater hornwrack). Its description in RNAcentral is "tRNA-Pro". The record is from RNAcentral. Lineage: Eukaryota; Metazoa; Bryozoa; Gymnolaemata; Cheilostomatida; Flustridae.